ACUCAAAGGAAUAGACGGGGGCCCGCACAAGCAGUGGAGUAUGUGGUUUAAUUCGAAGCAACGCGAAGAACCUUACCAGGGCUUGACAUCCUACUAACGAGGUAGAGAUACGUUAGGUGCCCUUCGGGGAAAGUAGAGACAGGUGGUGCAUGGUUGUCGUCAGCUCGUGUCGUGAGAUGUUGGGUUAAGUCCCGCAACGAGCGCAACCCUUACGGUUAGUUGCUACGCAAGAGCACUCUAGCCGGACUGCCGUUGACAAAACGGAGGAAGGUGGGGACGACGUCAAAUCAUCAUGCCCCUUACGUCCUGGGCUACACACGUACUACAAUGGCGGACAUACAACGGGCAGCGACACAGCGAUGUGAAGCCAAUCCCUAAAAAGCCGUCUCAGUUCGGAUCGCAGGCUGCAACCCGCCUGCGUGAAGUCGGAAUUGCUAGUAAUCGCGGAUCAUCAUGCCGCGGUGAAUACGUUCCCGGGCCUUGCACACACCGCCCGU
RNAcentral lists this ribosomal RNA (497 nucleotides) under uncultured bacterium. Its description in RNAcentral is "bacterial SSU rRNA". It matches the Rfam family "Bacterial small subunit ribosomal RNA", at positions 899 to 1397 of the family's 1533-position model. The record is from RNAcentral.